AUGGUCGACGGCGCGGCGGAUGAGCGCGAGCCCCAUCCUCGACCCCAGGAAAUGGCCUCGCUGCCAAUCCCCGACGAGCUAUCGGUGGAGAUAUUCCUCCGCAUUCCCAACCCAGCCGACCUUCUCCGCGCCUCCGCCGCCUGCGUCUCCUUCCGCCGCCUCAUUGCCGACCGCUCCUUCCUCCGGCAGUACCGCAAGCUCCACGCUCCGCCCCUUCUCGGCCUCCUCGACCACGAACGCAAGGUCUUCUACCCCGCGGUCCCGCCUCACCCCUCCGCGCCGGCAGCCGGCGCCGCGGCCCUAGCUGCCGACUUCUCCUUCUCCUUCCUCCCCGCCCCCGCCACCGAUUGGCGCGUCCAGGACGUCCUCAGCGGCCGCGUCCUCCUCGACAGAGUCCCCCCAGCACGACAUCGAUAA
This 417-nucleotide ribosomal RNA is filed under the name Triticum aestivum (bread wheat). Its description in RNAcentral is "partial small subunit ribosomal RNA". The record is from RNAcentral. Lineage: Eukaryota; Viridiplantae; Streptophyta; Magnoliopsida; Poales; Poaceae.